Molecule: transfer RNA, 72 nt
Filed under: Tuber melanosporum (Perigord truffle)
Lineage: Eukaryota; Fungi; Ascomycota; Pezizomycetes; Pezizales; Tuberaceae
Description: tRNA-Arg (TCT) (tRNA-Arg-TCT-2-1)
Rfam family: tRNA
About the family: Transfer RNA (tRNA) molecules are approximately 80 nucleotides in length. Their secondary structure includes four short double-helical elements and three loops (D, anti-codon, and T loops).
Source: RNAcentral
ACCCGACUGGCGCAAUGGUAGCGCGUCAGACUUCUAAUCUGAAGGCUGUGGGUUCGACCCCCACGUUGGGUU